RNAcentral lists this microRNA (21 nucleotides) under Lotus japonicus. RNAcentral's name for it is "lja-miR7526l-3p". The record is from miRBase by way of RNAcentral. Lineage: Eukaryota; Viridiplantae; Streptophyta; Magnoliopsida; Fabales; Fabaceae.
UAUCUUGAUAGCGGAAGUUAC